UUAGAGUCCAGGAGCGAUCUGGCAACAGCUGGGUUUCAACCCUCCUUCACGGAGUAAAUAGGUUAUUUACAACACCUACCUCUUAAGCCACUAUACAGCACUACAGCUUAUAAAGUGAAUUUACCCAACAUGAAUACAAUUCACACCAGCCCAGUUGGAGAGACCACACACGUUACCAUCAACAGCUCAAGAGAGCACAUGCAACGCGACAUCAUUAGGACUCCGAAGGUGUAGCGCCUCCCCCCUCCCCCGGCUGCUCCCACACUUUAAGAGAAACCACAGCUCCUCCCACCCUGGAAAUGUCCCAAGAGUCAGAGAACCCUGUGACUGAGGGCUCCGGGCCCUUGAUUUCCUCUGACAAUCAAGACCAGUCUCAGCCCAGGAGCCCAGACAUUAGCCCUGUAAACCAGAUCUCAGAUGUGCCAUCUUGUACCUAAAUGCAAAGGCCCCAAAUUAUCCAAAUGUCCCUGACCCCUGCCAUUUCUGUGUUUCCCUCUAUCUCCUACACCUGUGACUCUCCAACUCGAUGGGGCCCAGGAAUAAUAUGGAAACUCGUUAAAAACCAAUGGCCGGCUCACAUCAGAGCUUUCUGAUUCAGUAGUUGUCAGUGAGGUGUGAGAUUCUGUUUCUCCCAAGUUCCCUGGUGAGCUGCUGGCCCAGGGCCACACUGAGUAAUGCAGGAGAAGAAAGCCUCUUGCACUCUGAAGCAGCUAGCCCGCAGGUCCUGCAUCAGACCACCAGUUCUAACUUGGAGUUCAGAAAAUACAUGCCCUGCAAUAUAAACCCCUGCAAACUACCCAUCCCUGCAAACCCCUUUCCAGCACACACGCACACACACACACACACACAUGCCAAUGAGGACUACCACAGAGGCGAUACAGCCUAACCCAGCCCCAUGGAGCCCACAAUGAGGAGCCUCAAUGGUUGGCUUAUCUGGCCCCUCCACUGUCUCCCAGCCGGCCUGGCUGUAGUGUGGUUUCAUAAGCGCAUUCCUUGCUGGCUACAUGUAAGUUUACCGUCUCUCCAGCAGCAAUGCAAAUGCUAUUCCAGGGAGCCAUGCGUCCAGCACCUCACAUUAGAUUUUAUGGGAUGGGCUGAAUGUGGCUUAAAGGAUCCACCAGCAGCACCUUGGUGGUAGAAGGGGCUACGGUUUUGGGGUUUGACCUGUGGCUUGGUCACUCUUCAAGGGGCAAAUAAAGCUGUCAUUUUCCCAUGAGGCUUGGCCCUCGUGUCAUCAGACCCUCAGCCCAUUCCUAGCAGGCUCAGAUACUCCCUUGGUAGCGACAGACAAAGCACAGAAAGACAGCCCCGUGGGAAGAGAGGCUCUCUCUGGGAACGGUGGUGAGCCUCCAGCCAGAGGAAUGCAGAUGGGCUCAGGUGACAGUCCCCACAAGGAAUGGCUUCCAGGUAGCCCCCUCUCAGCUCUCCCUGGGGUGGAUGUUUAGAUUUGUGAACCUGUUAUUGCAAAAGUUACUUACUCCUCCAGCUCUACACUAUGGCUGAGUCCAGAAGAGUUUCUCAAACCACACAACCCACCUGCCUUUUCUAACAGGGCACCUCCUGGUCCCAGAGUCUCCGGAAUGCUCUUUGAAGCAGCGGCCUGAAUGGCAACUUAGAUGUUAUCUUUGAAUACGUGAUGGAUCCUUGUCGAAGAACAGAACACCUACUAAAAUUCUCCUAGAAUAAUCAGCUCACACGAGUGGUUUAGUAUGUGCCAGGCACUAUUCUAAUGCCUUAUAAGAAUUACACAUUUGCUUUUCAAAACACUCAGGAAGGAACGGUUAUAUCCCCAUUUUA
This is a long non-coding RNA of Tupaia belangeri chinensis (Chinese tree shrew), 1797 nucleotides long. RefSeq lists it as uncharacterized. Lineage: Eukaryota; Metazoa; Chordata; Mammalia; Scandentia; Tupaiidae. The record is from RefSeq and is a predicted model, not a curated record. The transcript has 3 exons.